This 1396-nucleotide long non-coding RNA is filed under the name Marmota monax (woodchuck). The record is from RNAcentral. Lineage: Eukaryota; Metazoa; Chordata; Mammalia; Rodentia; Sciuridae.
UGGGGUGGUCAGCAAAUGUUUUGAACAAAUGUUUGUCCCAAAUAUUUGUUUCUCUUCUUUCCAUACACACAAUAACCACCCCCCCCCCCACACACACACAAGGGACACACCCCAAAGAUCUCAUUGGCUUAGUGUUUAGGUCGCUGAGCUGAUCUCCACAUCAUGGCUACAGUUGGUACCUCUUGAUCCAGAGGCCUAGGAAUUGAGCCAGACAGUUAAUCGGUUAUUAAAAACAUAAAUGAGUUGGGCUCAGUGGCACAUGCCUGUAAUCCCGGUAGCUUGGGAGGCCGAGGCAGGAGGAUCGCAAGUUCAAAGCCAACCUCAGCAAAAGCGAGGCUCUAAGCAACUCAGUGAGACCCUGUCUCUAAAUAAAAUACAAAAUAGGGCCGGGGAAGUGGCUCAGGGGUCGAGUGCCCCUGAGUUCUAUCCCUAGUAACAAAAUAAAUAAAUAAAGCAAGCCUUCUUCAGACCACAUUCUCAAAAGACAGGGUCCAUGGACCUUGUUGGUAGCAGAAGCAGGCAGUCACCCAGGGCUGCUCUGAAGGGGAGUUCUCUGACCAUCUCCUCCUCCCUGGAAGAAGGUUCCCAGGCCAUUGUUCCCCGCGGCUUUUGGCUCAACCUUCUGGGAGGUUCUUCAGUUUCCCUGUGGAGUGGCCAAGUGGGGAGGAGUGAGAAUGUCAAAGUGAAGAAUGGACACCACCAGAGGGCUUUCAACCCGGCCCCAGACGCCUUCCCCUGGGGUCCUGGUCAGAAGCCAAAUGCCGGCUGAUCCAUUUUCCGCAAGUGGAUCGACCAAGCCUUGGCAGGCAGUUGCUCUACUGAGCUGAAUCCCCAGGCUAAUUAAUUAUUUUAUAUGUUUUGCUUUCCAAACUAUCUGUGAAGGAUCAGGUUUUGUUAUUUUUAUCGAAUUUUUAAUUUCAGUGAAAUAAAAAAAAAUCCUACAAAAUACAAACCAACUUUCUCUGAUUAGAUGUAACAUACAAAAGUUCUGUGUUCCAUUUGCUGUGAAAGUUUCAGAACCCUUCCUGCCGAUGUCUGCAGUUUCUUCUUGCAGCCCCUCACCUUGAGUAGCAUGGGUUCUAGAAGCACCGUUGGUCCGUCACAGGGCGUCUGUGGAUCUGGGCAUGCGCAUGGCCCCGACGUUCCUGAUCUUGCACACCUGGCCAUUCGUAGUUAGGAGACUCAGCUUUUAAAAAAACAAAGUAAAGAAUCGAUCCAGAUUAGUGGGUGCCGUGGUUUGAAGGUUCCAGGAUGGUAGGGAGGGGCUGGAGGAGCUGCUGGCCUCCUCUGUGUGAAUGGAACCCAGGCUCUGUCAAAGCCUCACGUGUUGGCGUCGGGCUCCUUCCUCCUUUGCUUCCCCUGCCUUCUGCCAUGCAGGACCAGCAAGAAGGCCCUC